GCUGUGGUGGCUCAGUGGAUUGAGCGUCGUCCUGUGGAUCAAGGGGUCCUGGGUUCGAUUCCCAGUCAGGGCA
This 73-nucleotide transfer RNA is filed under the name Myotis lucifugus (little brown bat). It matches the Rfam family "tRNA". From Rfam's summary of the family: Transfer RNA (tRNA) molecules are approximately 80 nucleotides in length. Their secondary structure includes four short double-helical elements and three loops (D, anti-codon, and T loops). Further hydrogen bonds mediate the characteristic L-shaped molecular structure. tRNAs have two regions of fundamental functional importance: the anti-codon, which is responsible for specific mRNA codon recognition, and the 3' end, to which the tRNAs corresponding amino acid is attached (by aminoacyl-tRNA synthetases). tRNAs cope with the degeneracy of the genetic code in two manners: having more than one tRNA (with a specific anti-codon) for a particular amino acid; and 'wobble' base-pairing, i.e. permitting non-standard base-pairing at the 3rd anti-codon position. Lineage: Eukaryota; Metazoa; Chordata; Mammalia; Chiroptera; Vespertilionidae. The record is from Rfam by way of RNAcentral.